RNAcentral lists this ribosomal RNA (252 nucleotides) under uncultured bacterium. RNAcentral's name for it is "partial 16S ribosomal RNA". It matches the Rfam family "Bacterial small subunit ribosomal RNA", at positions 524 to 775 of the family's 1533-position model. The record is from RNAcentral.
UACGAAGGGGGCUAGCGUUGUUCGGAAUUACUGGGCGUAAAGCGCGCGCAGGCGGCUAUCCAAGUCAGUGGUGAAAGCCCGGAGCUCAACUCCGGAACUGCCAUUGAAACUGUUUAGCUUGAGGACGAGAGAGGUGAGUGGAAUUCCCAGUGUAGAGGUGAAAUUCGUAGAUAUUGGGAAGAACACCGGUGGCGAAGGCGGCUCACUGGACCGAGACUGACGCUGAGGCGCGAAAGCGUGGGGAGCAAACAG